Molecule: ribosomal RNA, 443 nt
Filed under: uncultured bacterium
Lineage: Bacteria
Description: partial 16S ribosomal RNA
Rfam family: Bacterial small subunit ribosomal RNA
Source: RNAcentral
CCUACGGGCGGCAGCAGUGGGGGAUAUUGGACAAUGGGGGAAACCCUGAUCCAGCGACGCCGCGUGAGUGAAGAAGUAUUUCGGUAUGUAAAGCUCUAUCAGCAGGGAAGAAAGAAAUGACGGUACCUGAGUAAGAAGCCCCGGCUAACUACGUGCCAGCAGCCGCGGUAAUACGUAGGGGGCAAGCGUUAGCCGGAAUUACUGGGUGUAAAGGGAGCGUAGACGGGAAUGCAAGUCUGGAGUGAAAGGCGGGGGGCCAACCCCCGGACUGCUCUGGAAACUGUGUAACUGGAGUGCAGGAGAGGCAGGCGGAAUUCGUGGUGUAGCGGUGAAAUGCGUAGAUAUUAGGAGGAACACCAGUGGCGAAGGCGGCCUGCUGGACUGUAACUGACGUUGAGGCUCGAAAGCGUGGGGAGCAAACAGGAUUAGAUACCCGUGUAGUC